GGGCCAAGCAGUAAGUCAGGAUGUGAGUCAAAUGCUUACAUCCGGGUUGACAAGCUGUGAUGGGGAGCGAAAUUACAGUAGCGAAGUUGCCGAUGUCACACUGCCGAGAAAAGCUUCUAAGGAGCACGUUAACUGCCCGUACCGCAAACCGACACAGGUAGUCGAGGAGAGAAUCCUAAGGUGAGCGAGUGAACUCUCGUUAAGGAACUCGGCAAAAUGACCCCGUAACUUCGGGAGAAGGGGUGCUGGUCGCAAGACCAGCCGCAGUGAAUAGGCCCAGGCGACUGUUUAUCAAAAACACAGGUAUCUGCAAAAUCGUAAGAUGACGUAUAGGUGCUGACACCUGCCCGGUGCUGGAAGGUUAAGAGGAGAGCUUAGCGCAAGCGAAGGUUUGAAUUGAAGCCCCAGUAAACGGCGGCCGUAACUAUAACGGUCCUAAGGUAGCGAAAUUCCUUGUCGGGUAAGUUCCGACCUGCACGAAAGGUGUAAUGAUUUGGGCACUGUCUCAACGAGAGACUCGGUGAAAUUAUAAUACCCGUGAAGAUGCGGGUUACCCGCGACAGGACGGAAAGACCCCAUGGAGCUUUACUGUAGCUUGAUAUUGAGUAUUUGUUAAACAUGUACAGGAUAGGUAGGAGCCAGAGAAAGUAGGACGCUAGUCUUACUGGAGGCAAUGUUGGGAUACUACCCUUGUUUGAUGGAUCCUCUAACUCACAGAGCUGAGCGUUCUGGAGGACAGUGUCAGGUGGGCAGUUUGACUGGGGCGGUCGCCUCCUAAAAUGUAACGGAGGCGCCCAAAGGUUCCCUCAGAAUGGUUGGAAAUCAUUCGCAGAGUGUAAAGGUAUAAGGGAGCUUGACUGCGAGAGGUACACCUCGAGCAGGGACGAAAGUCGGGCUUAGUGAUCUGGUGGUACUGCAUGGAAAGGCCAUCACUCAACGGAUAAAAGCUACCCUGGGGAUAACAGGCUUAUCUCCCCCAAGAGUUCACAUCGACGGGGAGGUUUGGCACCUCGAUGUCGGCUCGUCGCAUCCUGGGGCUGAAGUCGGUCCCAAGGGUUGGGCUGUUCGCCCAUUAAAGCGGCACGCGAGCUGGGUUCAGAACGUCGUGAGACAGUUCGGUCCCUAUCCGUCGUGGGCGUAGGAAAUUUGAGAGGAGCUGUCCUUAGUACGAGAGGACCGGGAUGGACAUACCGCUGGUGUACCAGUUGUCUUGCCAAAGGCAUCGCUGGGUAGCUAUGUAUGGAAGGGAUAAGCGCUGAAAGCAUCUAAGUGCGAAGCCCCCCUCAAGAUGAGAUUUCCGAUGCGUAAGCAGUAAGACACCUUAAAGACGAUGAGGUAGAUAGGCUAGGAGUGGAAGCAUAGCGAUAUGUGGAGCGGACUAGUACNNNNNNNNNNNNNNNNNNNNN
RNAcentral lists this ribosomal RNA (1406 nucleotides) under Talaromyces islandicus. Its description in RNAcentral is "bacterial LSU rRNA". It matches the Rfam family "Bacterial large subunit ribosomal RNA", at positions 1509 to 2925 of the family's 2925-position model. The record is from RNAcentral. Lineage: Eukaryota; Fungi; Ascomycota; Eurotiomycetes; Eurotiales; Trichocomaceae.